AACGAUGAAUUAUCAAGCUACACUGAUUUUUAAGUACUAGCUGGCAACAAGGAUGUUUUGAGAGCGUAUGCCACAUUGUAAAACCAACCGUAAAGUUUACUAAAAAGGAGAAAAAGAUAAAUGAUAUCAAUAUCAAUCAAGAUAUGACGAAUAUUUAUUAAUUAAUAUGAUAUUUAUAGUAAUAAUAAUAAUACACUUUAAUAUAUCGGAUUCUUUAUUCAGGCACAGACAUUCUUCAAAUAGGAUGCGGGUAUUUCCGAAAAUAGCUUAAUAUA
This is a non-coding RNA of Cinara cedri, 275 nucleotides long. The record is from the annotation of a GenBank genome assembly. Lineage: Eukaryota; Metazoa; Arthropoda; Insecta; Hemiptera; Aphididae.